CCUACGGGUGGCAGCAGUGGGGAAUAGUGGGCAAUGGGCGCAAGCCUGACCCAGCAACGCCGCGUGAAGGAAGAAGGCUUUCGGGUUGUAAACUUCUUUUCUCAGGGACGAAGAAAGUGACGGUACCUGAGGAAUAAGCCACGGCUAACUACGGGCCAGCAGCCGCGGUAAUACGUAGGUGGCAAGCGUUAUCCGGAUUUACGGGGUGUAAUGGGCGUGUAGGCGGGACUGCAAGUCAGAUGUGAAAACCCCGGGCUCAACCUGUGGCCUGCAUUUGAAACUGUAGUUCUUGAGUACUGGCGUGUCAGCCGGCCUUCCUAGUGUCGCGCUGACAUGCGUCGAUAUUAGGAGGAACACCAGUGGCGCCGGCGGUCUGCUGGACAGCACCUGACGCUGAGGCGCGACAGCGUGGGGAGCACACCGGAUUAGAUACCCCGGUAGUC
RNAcentral lists this ribosomal RNA (443 nucleotides) under uncultured bacterium. Its description in RNAcentral is "partial 16S ribosomal RNA". It matches the Rfam family "Bacterial small subunit ribosomal RNA", at positions 338 to 795 of the family's 1533-position model. The record is from RNAcentral.